This 465-nucleotide ribosomal RNA is filed under the name Vreelandella stevensii. RNAcentral's name for it is "partial 16S ribosomal RNA". It matches the Rfam family "Bacterial small subunit ribosomal RNA", at positions 338 to 795 of the family's 1533-position model. Lineage: Bacteria; Pseudomonadati; Pseudomonadota; Gammaproteobacteria; Oceanospirillales; Halomonadaceae. The record is from RNAcentral.
CCUACGGGUGGCAGCAGUGGGGAAUAUUGGACAAUGGGCGAAAGCCUGAUCCAGCCAUGCCGCGUGUGUGAAGAAGGCCUUCGGGUUGUAAAGCACUUUCAGUGGGGAAGAAAGCCUUGGGGCUAAUACCCUCGAGGAAGGACAUCACCCACAGAAGAAGCACCGGCUAACUCCGUGCCAGCAGCCGCGGUAAUACGGAGGGUGCGAGCGUUAAUCGGAAUUACUGGGCGUAAAGCGCGCGUAGGCGGUCUGAUAAGCCGGUUGUGAAAGCCCCGGGCUCAACCUGGGAACGGCAUCCGGACCUGUCAGGCUAGAGUGCAGGAGAGGAAGGUAGAAUUCCCGGUGUAGCGGUGAAAUGCGUAGAUAUCGGGAGGAAUACCAGUGGCGAAGGCGGCCUUCUGGACUGACACUGACGCUGAGGUGCGAAAGCGUGGGUAGCAAACAGGAUUAGAUACCCGAGUAGUC